AUGCGGGAGGAGAUUACAGCGAUUGCUUACAUUGCUAAAAGGUCCCAAACAUUAUUUGAGGUAUACAUGAGGAAUGAGGAGACCACCUCUGUCCGCGCUGACAUUAAUAAAGUGAUUGCUUGUGGCACAACAGAAGGCAGUGAUGAGCACUUCAUCACUACCCAGCUGUUCAUCAACAGAGAACAAACUGAGAUGUUUCUCCACAUGGGUGCUGGGACGCGGAAGGGUUGGCUCCAUAGGAAGUUUGACAUCAAGUAUGGGAACUAG
Molecule: ribosomal RNA, 267 nt
Filed under: Triticum aestivum (bread wheat)
Lineage: Eukaryota; Viridiplantae; Streptophyta; Magnoliopsida; Poales; Poaceae
Description: partial small subunit ribosomal RNA
Source: RNAcentral